RNAcentral lists this ribosomal RNA (1556 nucleotides) under Salmonella enterica subsp. enterica serovar Waycross. RNAcentral describes it as "bacterial SSU rRNA". It matches the Rfam family "Bacterial small subunit ribosomal RNA". The record is from RNAcentral. Lineage: Bacteria; Pseudomonadati; Pseudomonadota; Gammaproteobacteria; Enterobacterales; Enterobacteriaceae.
UUAAAUUGAAGAGUUUGAUCAUGGCUCAGAUUGAACGCUGGCGGCAGGCCUAACACAUGCAAGUCGAACGGUAACAGGAAGCAGCUUGCUGCUUCGCUGACGAGUGGCGGACGGGUGAGUAAUGUCUGGGAAACUGCCUGAUGGAGGGGGAUAACUACUGGAAACGGUGGCUAAUACCGCAUAACGUCGCAAGACCAAAGAGGGGGACCUUCGGGCCUCUUGCCAUCAGAUGUGCCCAGAUGGGAUUAGCUAGUUGGUGAGGUAACGGCUCACCAAGGCGACGAUCCCUAGCUGGUCUGAGAGGAUGACCAGCCACACUGGAACUGAGACACGGUCCAGACUCCUACGGGAGGCAGCAGUGGGGAAUAUUGCACAAUGGGCGCAAGCCUGAUGCAGCCAUGCCGCGUGUAUGAAGAAGGCCUUCGGGUUGUAAAGUACUUUCAGCGGGGAGGAAGGUGUUGUGGUUAAUAACCGCAGCAAUUGACGUUACCCGCAGAAGAAGCACCGGCUAACUCCGUGCCAGCAGCCGCGGUAAUACGGAGGGUGCAAGCGUUAAUCGGAAUUACUGGGCGUAAAGCGCACGCAGGCGGUCUGUCAAGUCGGAUGUGAAAUCCCCGGGCUCAACCUGGGAACUGCAUUCGAAACUGGCAGGCUUGAGUCUUGUAGAGGGGGGUAGAAUUCCAGGUGUAGCGGUGAAAUGCGUAGAGAUCUGGAGGAAUACCGGUGGCGAAGGCGGCCCCCUGGACAAAGACUGACGCUCAGGUGCGAAAGCGUGGGGAGCAAACAGGAUUAGAUACCCUGGUAGUCCACGCCGUAAACGAUGUCUACUUGGAGGUUGUGCCCUUGAGGCGUGGCUUCCGGAGCUAACGCGUUAAGUAGACCGCCUGGGGAGUACGGCCGCAAGGUUAAAACUCAAAUGAAUUGACGGGGGCCCGCACAAGCGGUGGAGCAUGUGGUUUAAUUCGAUGCAACGCGAAGAACCUUACCUGGUCUUGACAUCCACAGAAGAAUCCAGAGAUGGAUUUGUGCCUUCGGGAACUGUGAGACAGGUGCUGCAUGGCUGUCGUCAGCUCGUGUUGUGAAAUGUUGGGUUAAGUCCCGCAACGAGCGCAACCCUUAUCCUUUGUUGCCAGCGGUCCGGCCGGGAACUCAAAGGAGACUGCCAGUGAUAAACUGGAGGAAGGUGGGGAUGACGUCAAGUCAUCAUGGCCCUUACGACCAGGGCUACACACGUGCUACAAUGGCGCAUACAAAGAGAAGCGACCUCGCGAGAGCAAGCGGACCUCAUAAAGUGCGUCGUAGUCCGGAUUGGAGUCUGCAACUCGACUCCAUGAAGUCGGAAUCGCUAGUAAUCGUGGAUCAGAAUGCCACGGUGAAUACGUUCCCGGGCCUUGUACACACCGCCCGUCACACCAUGGGAGUGGGUUGCAAAAGAAGUAGGUAGCUUAACCUUCGGGAGGGCGCUUACCACUUUGUGAUUCAUGACUGGGGUGAAGUCGUAACAAGGUAACCGUAGGGGAACCUGCGGUUGGAUCACCUCCUUACCUUAAAGAAGC